ACGGGAGGCAGCAGUGAGGAAUAUUGGUCAAUGGGCGCAAGCCUGAACCAGCCAAGUCGCGUGAAGGAAGACUGCCCUAUGGGUUGUAAACUUCUUUUGCAUGGGAAUAAAGUGAGCCACGUGUGGCUUUUUGUAUGUACCAUGCGAAUAAGCAUCGGCUAAUUCCGUGCCAGCAGCCGCGGUAAUACGGAAGAUGCGAGCGUUAUCCGGAUUUAUUGGGUUUAAAGGGAGCGUAGGCGGCCUUUUAAGUCAGCGGUCAAAUGUCAGCGCCCAACGCUGGCCUGCCGUUGAUACUGAUGGGCUUGAAUACACACAAGGAAGGUGGAAUUCGUCGUGUAGCGGUGAAAUGCUUAGAUAUGACGAAGAACUCCGAUUGCGAAGGCAGCCUUCUGGAGUGCGAUUGACGCUGAGGCUCGAAAGCGCGGGUAUCAAACAGGAUUAGAUACCCUGGUA
RNAcentral lists this ribosomal RNA (453 nucleotides) under uncultured Paraprevotella sp. Its description in RNAcentral is "partial 16S ribosomal RNA". It matches the Rfam family "Bacterial small subunit ribosomal RNA", at positions 341 to 792 of the family's 1533-position model. Lineage: Bacteria; Pseudomonadati; Bacteroidota; Bacteroidia; Bacteroidales; Prevotellaceae. The record is from RNAcentral.